GACGAACGCUGGCGGCGUGCCUAAUACAUGCAAGUUGAGCGCUGAAGGUUGGUACUUGUACCAACUGGAUGAGCAGCGAACGGGUGAGUAACGCGUGGGUAAUCUGCCUUUGAGCGGGGGACAACAUUUGGAAACGAAUGCUAAUACCGCAUAAUAACUUUAAACACAAGUUUUAAGUUUGAAAGAUGCAAUUGCAUCACUCAAAGAUGAUCCCGCGUUGUAUUAGCUAGUUGGUGAGGUAAAGGCUCACCAAGGCGAUGAUACAUAGCCGACCUGAGAGGGGGGUCGGCCACAGUGGGACUGAGACCCGGCCCAAACUCCUACGGGAGGCAGCCGUAGGGAAUCUUCGGCAAUGGACGAAAGUCUGACCGAGCAACGCCGCGUGAGGGAAGAAGGGUUUCGGAUCGUAAAACUCUGUUGGUAGAGAAGAAAGUUAGUGAGAGUGGAAAGCUCAUCAAGUGACGGUAACUACCCAGAAAGGGACGGCUAACUACGUG
RNAcentral lists this ribosomal RNA (497 nucleotides) under uncultured bacterium. RNAcentral describes it as "partial 16S ribosomal RNA". It matches the Rfam family "Bacterial small subunit ribosomal RNA", at positions 28 to 507 of the family's 1533-position model. The record is from RNAcentral.